This 253-nucleotide ribosomal RNA is filed under the name uncultured bacterium. RNAcentral describes it as "partial 16S ribosomal RNA". It matches the Rfam family "Bacterial small subunit ribosomal RNA", at positions 524 to 776 of the family's 1533-position model. The record is from RNAcentral. RNAcentral also lists the same sequence under 1 other name.
GACGAACCGAGCGAACGUUGUUCGGAAUCACUGGGCUUAAAGGGCGCGUAGGCGGGUGGUUUAGUCUGUGGUGAAAUCCGGCAGCUUAACUGUCGAAUUGCCGUGGAUACUGGCCAUCUCGAGGGAGGCAGGGGUGCGCGGAACUAAUGGUGGAGCGGUGAAAUGCGUUGAUAUCAUUAGGAACUCCGGUGGCGAAGGCGGCGCACUGGUCCUCUUCUGACGCUGAGGCGCGAAAGCCAGGGGAGCAAACGGG